UCUAAUAUGGCAGAAUAGUGCAAUGAAUUUAAGAUUCAUUUAUGGGAAACUUUUCCCUGUUAGAA
Molecule: transfer RNA, 65 nt
Filed under: Tuxedo bicinctus
Lineage: Eukaryota; Metazoa; Arthropoda; Insecta; Hemiptera; Miridae
Description: tRNA-Leu
Source: RNAcentral